AUACCCUCGGGAAACUGAGGCUAAUAGUGUAUACCAUACCACCACUGGAAUGAGUGGUAUGCCAAACGCUCCGGCGCCGAAGGAUGUGGCUGCGGCCGAUUAGGUAGACGGUGGGGUAACGGCCCACCGUGCCAAUAAUCGGUAUGGGUCAUGAGAGUGAGAACCCAGAGACGGAAUCUGAGACAAGAUUCCGGGCCCUACGGGGCGCAGCAGGCGCGAAACCUUUACACUGC
RNAcentral lists this ribosomal RNA (233 nucleotides) under halophilic archaeon. Its description in RNAcentral is "partial 16S ribosomal RNA". It matches the Rfam family "Archaeal small subunit ribosomal RNA", at positions 126 to 358 of the family's 1478-position model. The record is from RNAcentral. Lineage: Archaea; Methanobacteriati; Methanobacteriota; Halobacteria; Halobacteriales.